Molecule: small RNA, 145 nt
Filed under: Megasphaera hominis
Lineage: Bacteria; Bacillati; Bacillota; Negativicutes; Veillonellales; Veillonellaceae
Description: M-box riboswitch (ykoK leader)
Rfam family: M-box riboswitch aptamer (ykoK leader)
About the family: M-box riboswitch, also know as ykoK leader is described as a metaloregulatory RNA that sense divalent metals and function as a genetic control element of genes related to divalent metal transport in bacteria.
Source: RNAcentral
ACUCCGGUAGGUGAGGCUACUACAGGGAUAUGGACUGCUGCCGCAACAGGAUGGAGACAUCCCGCGCCGGUUUGAACAGGUUGUAUCGACUAAGGUACAACAUAACGCAGUUACACCGCCCUCUAGAGCCAAAGCUCGUACGGCG